AGUGAACGCUGGCGGCAUGCCUAACACAUGCAAGUCGAACGACAACACGGGAAGAUUGCGCCCUUACCGGUAGCGAGGGGCGGAUGAGUAAGAAGUAGAUAACCAACUACUAUUUCUGGGGUGACUACGGAGAAAAAGUGAUGAUAACACCGAAUAUGACCAACGGGAGGAAUCAGUGGUGCUUGGGACUUUUGCCGAUUCAUAUAGCCGAUGUCGGAUUAGCUAGUUGGCGUGGUAAAGGCACACCAAGGCGACGAUCCGUAGCUGGUCUGAGAGGAUGAUCAGCCACACUGGAACUGAGACACGGUCCAGACUCCUACGGGAGGCAGCAGUGGGGAAUAUUGGACAAUGGGCGCAAGCCUGAUCCAGCCAUACCGCGUGGGUGAAGAAGGCCUUCGGGUUGUAAAGCCCUUUUGUUGGGAAAGAAAAGCAGCAGGUUAAUCCCCCGCUGUUCUGACGGUACCCAAAGAAUAAGCACCGGCUAACUUCGUG
Molecule: ribosomal RNA, 492 nt
Filed under: uncultured bacterium
Lineage: Bacteria
Description: partial 16S ribosomal RNA
Rfam family: Bacterial small subunit ribosomal RNA
Source: RNAcentral